Molecule: ribosomal RNA, 253 nt
Filed under: uncultured bacterium
Lineage: Bacteria
Description: partial 16S ribosomal RNA
Rfam family: Bacterial small subunit ribosomal RNA
Source: RNAcentral
UACGGGGGGGGCAAGCGUUGUUCGGAAUUACUGGGCGUAAAGGGCUCGUAGGUGGCCAACUAAGUCAGACGUGAAAUCCCUCGGCUUAACCGGGGAACUGCGUCUGAUACUGGAUGGCUUGAGUUCGGGAGAGGGAUGCGGAAUUCCAGGUGUAGCGGUGAAGUGCGUAGAUAUCUGGAGGAACACCGGUGGCGAAGGCGGCAUCCUGGACCAACACUGACGCUGAUGAGCGAAAGCCAGGGGAGCAAACGGG